RNAcentral lists this antisense RNA (75 nucleotides) under Frankia sp. R43. RNAcentral's name for it is "ASpks TB sRNA". It matches the Rfam family "ASpks TB sRNA". The record is from Rfam by way of RNAcentral. Lineage: Bacteria; Bacillati; Actinomycetota; Actinomycetes; Frankiales; Frankiaceae. RNAcentral also lists the same sequence under 1 other name.
CUUGAGCGUUCCCAGCCACAGCGGAUGCCCGGGCGGUCGGCCCUGGCCGUAGGUGGCCAGCAGGGCGUGCGCCUC